Long non-coding RNA from Pipistrellus kuhlii (Kuhl's pipistrelle), 89 nucleotides. RefSeq lists it as uncharacterized. The record is from RefSeq and is a predicted model, not a curated record. The transcript is spliced from 3 exons. Lineage: Eukaryota; Metazoa; Chordata; Mammalia; Chiroptera; Vespertilionidae.
GAGUUAUCAGAUAGCAAAGGACUUGAAGCCAGGGCUUUCGGACAAUUGUCUUCAGGUCUCUUUCCAGUUUAAUGACUAGAUUGGAAGAG